This 28-nucleotide non-coding RNA is filed under the name Mus musculus (house mouse). The record is from RNAcentral. Lineage: Eukaryota; Metazoa; Chordata; Mammalia; Rodentia; Muridae.
UGCUCAAUAAAAAGUGAGCAGCGCCUGC